Salmo salar (Atlantic salmon) is the source of this 353-nucleotide long non-coding RNA. RefSeq lists it as uncharacterized. The record is from RefSeq and is a predicted model, not a curated record. Lineage: Eukaryota; Metazoa; Chordata; Actinopteri; Salmoniformes; Salmonidae.
GGGAUGCUAUGUUAGCUAGCUGGCUAUGACUAUCCAAAACACUGGAAUGCUUCCAAGUCAAGCAGGCAAGAGGCGAAGCUGGAGGUGAGAUCUUUGCCAGAUCCCCAAUGAUGGCCAUAGCAGCAUAGACCAGCUCUUGGCCCCUCAUUAAAGGAUCUCUUACGUUCUUCCAAAGAUCUCCUGCGGGGAUAGGCUGCUGUGGUGAUGCCAAUCUACCAUGGCCUGAUGAUGAUGUCUACCUGAGACUCCAAGCCAAACUCUACGGAGUCCAUCCCCUGGAUCUUUCACCUGCAGCCCUUGGCUUCAUCCCGUCCAUUCUCACAUCCAUUCCAUUUCCUCAAUAAAUAUUCUAA